Molecule: non-coding RNA, 99 nt
Filed under: Hassallia byssoidea
Lineage: Bacteria; Bacillati; Cyanobacteriota; Cyanophyceae; Nostocales; Tolypothrichaceae
Description: TPP sequence
Rfam family: TPP riboswitch aptamer (THI element)
About the family: Vitamin B(1) in its active form thiamin pyrophosphate (TPP) is an essential coenzyme that is synthesised by coupling of pyrimidine and thiazole moieties in bacteria. The previously detected thiamin-regulatory element, thi box was extended, resulting in a new, highly conserved RNA secondary structure, the THI element, which is widely distributed in eubacteria and also occurs in some archaea.
Source: RNAcentral
AAGACAAAACAGGGGUGCCUAAUAAGACAAGGGCUGAGAUUAUACCCAUAGAACCUGAUGCCGGUAAUGCGGCCGAAGGGAGGCAGUGUUAACACGUAA